RNA transcript from Cynara cardunculus var. scolymus (artichoke), 1539 nucleotides. RefSeq lists it as uncharacterized. The record is from RefSeq and is a predicted model, not a curated record. NCBI's taxonomy places the organism in Eukaryota, Viridiplantae, Streptophyta, Magnoliopsida, Asterales, Asteraceae. The transcript has 3 exons.
UCUUCAUUCUCUCUCUCAAAACUACUUGCAGACCAUCUUCCUUCCACAUCUCAAAACCCUAAUUCUAACAACAUAUGCCCCUUUUCACUCACGAUCAGAAGAAUUGCUUCCAAACUGUUUGAAGAUAUUACGUUGAUGUAGCAAAUAAUGGAAGCAAACGUAUGUGAUGUUAAUCAUCUGGACUCUGAUGUACUUUUGCCUCCACGAAAGCGGUUACUUGCCUGUUUGAAAAAGCAGAAUGGUGAUGGAAAUGGAAACUCCUAUUCACCAUCCACUUGUAGCUCGUUGAACGAAUUAGAUGCCCGUAUCAGUUUCUUAUUGAGAGCUCAUUUGAGUAACGCUAAUCCUUCACAAGAGGAGAUUGUGACGGCUUCCAGAUCAGCAGCUGAAGUUGCAGUCAAGGUUGCAAUGGCUGCAAGGGCGACAGCUGAAGAAAAGGCGGUAAUAGCAGCCAAAGCCAUGGCUGCCGCCAAGAAAGCAUUAGAAUUUGUAGCAAGUUUUGAUAAUCAGGAGAUAUCUUCUUCUGCGGAACAACAAUUGAAGAAGAAUAAAACCAAAAAGCAAGUUGAGGUUCAAAUGUUGUAUAACAAUAAGAAACCGAGGUUAGAGAAUGGUAAAAGUAAGACAAAUGAUGAAGAGUUAGCUCGUCAAUUGCAUCAGGCCAUAAACAGCUCCCCUAGAAUUUCAAAGUGUGGUUUGCCCUCUGACGUAAAGAGUCAUAAGCAUAAAAAGCUUAAAAUCUCUUCUGAAAAUGGUAGAAUUAACAAUGGAAGUAUAGUUGGUGAAGGGAUUUCUCCUUCCAGCAAUGGAGCCAGUAAACCCCUCGAAAUGGUAACAAGCAUUGGUAAAGAAGUAGAAAACGCUUCAAAGUCAAAAAUGGAAAACGGGAAUGCAGAAAGAAUACAAUCAAAGGCGAAAUGUAGUGAGGAGGAUACCACUAUUCUUGGUAGAAAGAGGGGAAGAAUGAAACAGAAGAAGCUUCCUUUAAGCAUCUGUCAUGAUAGGGAUCAAGCAACCCCCAAAGAAGAUCGUACUUCUAGGAGCUCGUUUUCUGUAGGGUCCUCUGCCAAUGGUGCGAUGGCUGUUGAACGGAAUUCAUCCUGGAAGUGUCAGGCUUUUAAGGCACCUGCUUGUGUCAAACAAAACAAAGUUAUGCAGUUGUGAUGUUCAUACUUUUACCAUAACAAUGAGCAGUUUGGACAGCAGAGUGGCCGAGCGAUGCAGGGUCAACGUGAAAUUUGAAGAGAAUCGUUGGCACUGUGAGAUCAUUAGCCAGCUGACAUAAGACCUGUUGUAGUACAAAAGCUUGAGAUUGUUUGUGAUAUUUUCUCAUUAAUCUUUGUGGUGGGUCGUUAGUUCGUUGUGUUUGACAUGGGUUUGUAAAGGUACAGACGAGAUUUUUCGCUUAAAUAACCGAAAAUCCUUCCCUUUGCAUGUUUUGGUAAACUUCCAAGAUUUAUUACAAUGACUCUGUAACUUGGUCAUUAAUUUUUAAGAUUAUUAGUACCUUGUUUAUGGGACAGAGGAAAUGUUUGCAUA